RNAcentral lists this ribosomal RNA (765 nucleotides) under uncultured Streptococcus sp. Its description in RNAcentral is "bacterial SSU rRNA". It matches the Rfam family "Bacterial small subunit ribosomal RNA", at positions 28 to 776 of the family's 1533-position model. Lineage: Bacteria; Bacillati; Bacillota; Bacilli; Lactobacillales; Streptococcaceae. The record is from RNAcentral.
GAUGAACGCUGGCGGCGUGCCUAAUACAUGCAAGUAGAACGCUGAAGCUUGGUGCUUGCACCGAGCGGAUGAGUUGCGAACGGGUGAGUAACGCGUAGGUAACCUGCCUGGUAGCGGGGGAUAACUAUUGGAAACGAUAGCUAAUACCGCAUAACAGUCGACAUUGCAUGAUGUUGAUUUGAAAGGGGCAAAUGCUCCACUACCAGAUGGACCUGCGUUGUAUUAGCUAGUUGGUGAGGUAACGGCUCACCAAGGCGACGAUACAUAGCCGACCUGAGAGGGUGAUCGGCCACACUGGGACUGAGACACGGCCCAGACUCCUACGGGAGGCAGCAGUAGGGAAUCUUCGGCAAUGGACGGAAGUCUGGCCGAGCAACGCCGCGUGAGUGAAGAAGGUUUUCGGAUCGUAAAGCUCUGUUGUAAGAGAAGAACGAGUGUGAGAGUGGAAAGUUCGCACUGUGACGGUAUCUUACCAGAAAGGGACGGCUAACUACGUGCCAGCAGCCGCGGUAAUACGUAGGUCCCGAGCGUUGUCCGGAUUUAUUGGGCGUAAAGCGAGCGCAGGCGGUUAGAUAAGUCUGAAGUUAAAGGCUGUGGCUUAACCAUAGUACGCUUUGGAAACUGUUUAACUUGAGUGCAAGAGGGGAGAGUGGAAUUCCAUGUGUAGCGGUGAAAUGCGUAGAUAUAUGGAGGAACACCGGUGGCGAAAGCGGCUCUCUGGCUUGUAACUGACGCUGAGGCUCGAAAGCGUGGGGAGCAAACAGG